This 69-nucleotide ribozyme is filed under the name Rodentolepis nana. Its description in RNAcentral is "Hymenolepis nana HDV ribozyme from F. prausnitzii". It matches the Rfam family "HDV ribozyme from F. prausnitzii". The record is from Rfam by way of RNAcentral. Lineage: Eukaryota; Metazoa; Platyhelminthes; Cestoda; Cyclophyllidea; Hymenolepididae.
GGUGUGCGAUAGACUUACCUCCACGUGGUGCACACUGGGCAACGUAUAUUCAUACGGCAAAAGGUCUAU